Molecule: long non-coding RNA, 7368 nt
Filed under: Manihot esculenta (cassava)
Lineage: Eukaryota; Viridiplantae; Streptophyta; Magnoliopsida; Malpighiales; Euphorbiaceae
Description: long non-coding RNA (MESC_LNC011903)
Source: RNAcentral
ACUCAUUCGACUCAUAUUUAAUUAUAUUUUAUUGACUCCUUAUAUACAUGAAAAUUCCAUAAAGUUUCUUGAUUUAUUGAUCACCCAUCAAGUAUAAAGCAAAAAAGGAACUAGUGACCAGAGCCUUUGGGGCUGGGUCCUGAUGCUAGGCGUUCAAGCCAACAUGCCUUAGUAUUCUUUGCCUUCUCAUACACAGACGAAUAAGUCUCCAGAUGAUUUUCAGAGGCAAAAUCCUCCAGCAACAUCCUAGUCGCUUCUACGUUAACCUGGCAGAAAACAGCCAUCAAGAUAAAGAAAAUGGCUAGAACAGUGGUUGACUUGCUGCUGAAACUCACCAUCUUCUUCCAAAAUGAACUGCACUAAGUAGCUGCAGAGAAAAAUCAGAACUUUUCUAUAUACCCAGAAAGAGAGAGAGAGAGAGUUGUAUAGUGAUUGAUGAUGGUGUGGACUGGGAUGAGAGAAGAGAUGAGGUGGUUGGGGUAUUUAUAGUAAAAGUUUAGGACUUUGUGUUGCUACCUCGCUUUGAACGUAAAGCUUUUUGGUUGGCAAUUGGGAGGGAAUGUGUUGACCAAAUAUUUAUAUUGAAAUAGUCAUACUAUGCAACAUAACAAUCAGAAUAGGACUCGAUAUGUCAAGCUAAUAAUAUAAUUUUAUUUUUAUAAUUUUAAAAAUUAUUUAUUAUAUUUAUAUAUUUUUAAAAUUUUUAUGUUAAUUAAAAAACUAAAUUUUUUAUAUUUUAAAUUAUAAAAAAUAUAUUUUAUCAUUAAAAAUAAUAUAAUAUUAUAUUAUAUUAAGACUUAUUUGGUUUUUAACAAAAAUAUAAAAUUUUAAUUGAGUAAAAAUUUAAAUUAAAUUUAUUUAACCUUGGAAUAAAAAUAAAAAGAUUUAAUUAGAAUUAUUUCCAAUAGAUAAAUAGAAGUUUAUCAUGGAAAGAUAAUUAUAAUAAUUGAAUUUGUGUGAUAGAUGAAGCCUACAUAAAUUUUGUUAAUUAAUUUGAAUUAAAAAUUGAAUUUAAUAUUUCACAAUUUUGAAAAUAUCAUUGAACAAAUUAUAUAUAAUAACAUAUUUUUAUAAAUAAUUUAUUUUAUAUCAUAAAAUUAUUGCUAUUUUAAUUAAUUAAUAUGACAAAAAUUAAUUUAUGGGAUAAAAGAAUUUAUAUUAUUUACAUUUUUUUUCAGACAAUAUAUAGCGAACCUAUUAACAACGCAGUUAUGUUUUGAUUCUAAAACAAAAAGGAAAGCAGUAUCUUUUACUUUCUAUGACUUUCUUAUGUAAAUGAAAAAUCCAGCAUCUACCUAUCACCCAUCAAGAACACAGACAAAACCCGAACUAGUGACCAGGGCCUUUGUGGCUAGGGCCUGAGGCUAGACUUUCAAGCCAACAUGCCAUGGUAUUCUUUGCUUUCUCAUACACCAAUGAAUAAGUCUCUAGAUGAUUUUCAGUGGCAAAAUCCUCUUGCAAUACCCUAGUUGCCUCCACUCUAACUUGACGUAAAACAGCCACCAAGAUAAAGAAAAUAACCAGAACAGUGGUUGACUUGCUGCUGAAACUCAUCAUCUUCUUCCAAAAUGCAAUGCACCAAGUAGCUGCAAAGAUAAAAACAAAACUUUUUUGUAUACCCUGAAAGAGAUCUAGAGAGAGAGAGCUUCUGCUAGAGUUGUUGAGCUUCUGGGAAUGAGGAAUCUUGUCUUUGAGUGGAAGUAUCUGAUUUUGAAUUCCCAUGCAUAUAUAUAUUUUUUGUUAAGUAGCAAGAGGCCGCAGGGAAGCAAAACAUGUAGCAACAGCGGAAGCAAUUUGGGAGGAAGACAGGGACAAGAAGAGGAAUUUAGGGAGAGUGAUUAGAGGAGAUCGAGAUCAAGGAAAACAAGCACUAACGAUUGGCUACACAUAACAUGGUGGUCCUCCAAACUUCGAACAUGAAGCAAAGCAGGGACAGUUAAUUGAGGAAAUUAAGGAAGAGCGAUCCUCUAAUAACAGAGCAGAAGAAAACAAAGGAAUUUAAAGAAUUCUUUUAUGUACCUGGCAAGAAAAGCUGGAGGCAACUAAAAUACUGCCACUACUACUACUAAACUAUAUUUAAAGCAAUUUUGGCAAAUUAUUAUGUUAUAUAUUUAAAUUUAAUUAUAAAAAAUAAUAAUUUAUAGAUUGUUGCAUUCCAUAAAUAAAAAAUAGGUUAAAAUUAUAAUUUUAUUUAAUAUAAAAUAAAUCAUUUAUUAAAAUAUAUUAUUAUAUUUUAUAAUAAUUUUAAAUUUUUAGCGAAAUAUAAACUCGCAAUUUACAUAAAUUUUAAAAUUAUAGAUCCCAUAUUUUUUUUAUUUUUCAUUUUUAAUUGUUUCUAAAAUAAUGUAUAUUUUUUUUAUAUUAUAAUAAUAUAUAAAUUAAAUAUUAUUAAGAGUGAGCAAAUCGAAAAAAUUGAUCAAACAAAAUUAUUUUGAAAAUUUAAUUCGAUUUUUUAUUCAUUUCGAUUUGAUUCGAUUUAUAAAUUUAAAAAUUUUAAUUAUUUCAUUCGGUUUAAUUUUUAUCAAAAAAAAUCAAAAAAAUCGAAUCAAACUGAUUAGUAAUAAUAAUAUAUUAUUUUCAAUAAUAUAGAUAUAUUAGAUCAUAAUAAAAUUAAAAUAUUUCAAUUAAAUUUUAAAAUAUUAAAAAUAAAUUGGAAAAAAUAAAAAAAUUUAAAUUAAAUUGAAUCGAACUAACCGAUUCAGUUCGAUUCAAUUGCUAACCAAAUCGAUUCAGUUCAAUUUUCAUAAAUACUAAAAUUUUAAAUUGAACCGACCGAAUGGUCCACUUAUAUUAUAAUUUUAUUUAAUAUUAUUUUAUUUUUAAAAAAUUUUAAAAAUAUUUUUUAAUAUAUAAUAAAAUUUAAUAAUUUUAAUUUGUUAUCUUAUUUUUAAUAAACUUCUCAAAGUUGACCUAGUAAAGGCAAACUGAGUCUUCAAUUCUAAUACAGCUUUUGUGAGAAAAGGACCGAAAAGAUAACGGAGUCACGCAAAAACAAGAACACACGACAACAAUUUAAUAUACGUGUCUUAAUUGAAUAUGCCAAACGGUAGUUUAAUUCGAUUAAUCUAUUAAGGACCUAUUUAGUAUAAUUGUUAAAUAUUACUCAUAAUUGAUAUAUUUUAAAUAUUUGAUAAAUUAUAUUUAAUUAUUAUUAUUAUUAAUAUGUAAAAUAAUUAAUAAAAAUAUAUCUCAAUUCAUUAUAUUAACGAAUAAAUAUAAAAAUAUUAAUUUAUUAUAUAACAUAUAGUAAUUAAAAUAUAUAAUUUUUACAAUAAAUUAAUAUUUUUAUUUUUAUCUUAUUAAUAUAAUAAAUUAAUAUAUACUUUUAUUAAUUAUUUUAUAUACCAAUAAUAAUAAUUAAAUAUAAUUUAUGAAAUAUUUAAUAUCAAUCAUCAACUAUUAAUUACAAUCAAUUAUUAGCUAUCAGUUAGAUUCGGUAGCUAAACUAAACGGUUCCGUACAGACUUUUCCAAUGACUUCCUUCUUUUAGCUAAUCACGAGUCUCCUCGAUGACGGAUCUACUUAUUGGGUAAGGGGCCAUGACCCACUAAAUUUUUUUUAAAAUGUUAUAAGGGUAUUUAUAUAAUUUUUGUUAAUUUUAAAUAAAUAAAUAAAAUUAUUAUUCAGUGUUUAAAUUUUUUAAAAAAUUUAUUAAUUUAUUCUAUUUAAAAAUUAUUUAAUUAAAAUAUUUUUAUAUUUAAAAAAAUAAAUUUUUUAAUUUUUAUAAAUUUAUUAACAUAUUUUUAAAUAUUUUAUAUUAUUUAAUUCAUAUAAUUUUAAUUAUAUGUAUCAUUUAUUUUAUACAUUUAAAUAUUUAUAUUUUUUUAUUAAAAAUAAAACAAAUGGACUAUCAGUUACUUUAACUAAACAAUUUAAUUUUAUAAAAUAUAUGAAUAUUUUAAUUGAAUUGUUUUUAUAAAAAUAAAAAUUACUAAAAUUUUUAAAAAUUCAAGAGUUUAAUAAUAAUUCUCUUAUAAAUAAAGUCUAAUACCAAUAUAAUUUUAAAGCGGCCAUUCUAAUUUAUAUUUUUUUUUAUUUAAUUUAAAAAGUUUAUGUUUAAUUUUUAAGAUUUUAACUUCACGUGUUUUGCUUAAUUUUUUUUAUUUUUAAAAUAUUUAUAAGGUAAAUUAUUCAUUAAUUAUUUAAUUUAUUAAUUUAAUAUAUACAAAAUUUAAUAACCGUUGAAAUUAAACCAUUAAACACUUAGAAUUAUAAAAAUUAUGAUAAUUAAAUAUAAAUUAACCAUUUAUUAAAAAAAUAUUAAAUUAAUCACAUAUAUUAUUAAUUACGCUCUAAAUUUAUUGAUUGUAUUUUAAAUUUUUAUAAAUUGACAAAAUUAAGCGAUAAUAAUUUUAUUAUAUUUUAAAUUUAAAAAAUCUUAAAUAUAAAUCAAAACAUUAAAAUUAAAUAGUGUUUUUUAACAAAUAAUAGUUUAGGCAACUUAAAUUAAAAAAAUUUAAAAAUUUAUACUCAAUAUUUAAUAUGAUCAAAUUAAUUUAACUUGUAAAAUUUUAUGUAUGUAAUUUUUUUUAUUUCUUUACUUAAAAUUAAAUUUUAUUUUGAAAAUUUUAUACAUGUAGAUAAAUAUUUUUUAUAAAUCAAAUAAAAUUAAAAUUUUUGCUGAAAAAAUAAAAUUUCUAUUUGCUAGUUAAUUUCUAUUUGCACUAGUCAUAAAUAGACUUGGCCACAAUCCUGUUUGGACCAUAAAUCGGUUUAAAAUCGGCUCAAAACCGAACUGGUCAAUCAGUUUUGAUUUUUAAAUUAGACUAAAACUUUAUAUUAAGGAGCUUAUUAUGAAUUCUCUAUUCUGAGACUGUAAAUACAAAUUAGCUCCAUCAAUUGAAUGCUCUCUGGUUAUUAGUCAAUAUGAACGAAUUGAAAUAAGAAAAAUACUUAUCUGAAUCCGGUUCACCAUAAACCAAAAUAUCUCUAAAAUACAAAUAAGAGAAUCAUAGUCUACUCCAUGACAGAUAAUUGGAUCCAAUUAGGGCGAAGAGCACUUAUAAAUAUUAUUCUCAAAUUGGUUUUGAGUUAUCAAAAAUCAUGGCUCCAAUUAGGGGUGAGCAGUAUUCGGUUCAAACCGAAAAAACCGACCGAAUCGAAUCGAAUUGAAAAUUUAGUUCGAUUUUUUAUAUAUUUUGGUUCGGUUCGGUUUUUAAUUUCAGAAAUUUUGAUUAUUUUGGUUCAGUUCGGUUUUGAUCAGAAAAAAAUCGAAAAAAUCAAACCGAACCGAUUAGUGAUAAUAAUAGGUUUUUUCAAUAAUAUAGAAAAAUUAAAUUAUAUUAAGAUUAAAAAUUUUUAAUUAAAUUUUAAAAUACUAAAAAUAAAGUGUAAAAAAUUAAAAAAAAAUUAUUAAAAAUGGAAACCGAUCAAAACCGAACCGAAUCGAACCGAAUCAGACCGGUUCGGUUCGAUUCGGUUUCUGAUCAGAAUCGAUUCGGUUCGGUUUUUAUAAAUACUAAAAUUUCGAUUUUCAAUUUAUUCGGUUCAGUUCAAUUUUAAACUGAACCGACCGAAUGCUCACCCCUAGCUCCAAUCCCUUGAUACGUAACUCUAUCUCUAUUAAUAACUGUUCUCACCAUUUUUAUAUAUAUGAUACUCCGCAGUUUCAGUAUUUUGAGAUUCAAUAAAAGAUUAAGCAAAUUGUAAACUAGCCUGUGUUUGAUACCAUGUAAAAAAGGUGGUGAUAUUAGAGUUUAUGAAUAUCUCUAGUGUAACUAUACAAGUGAGAUUGCUAUGAUACCACGUCGAAUAUUAGAGAAAACAAAGAAAGAAAGAAAAUUAUAGUUCUUGUUUGGUUCAAAUUGGUCCCUAAGUAAACUUUUCAGCCUCCCUUAUAUUUACUUUUAGCACUGGUUACGUAAGUUUUAAGGGUUAUAGCUGAUUAGGUUUAAAUUUGUCAAUGGGUAGUGAUUAGAGAGCUACUGUGGCAAUAGGUUUAAAUUUAAUGAAAGAAGUUAAUGUUAGGGUACAAAUAACUUAAUGAAUAUAAUUAAUUUAGGGUAGAUCUAUUAUGAAAAUUAGAGAGUAAAAUCAUUUAAAAAAUAAUAAAUUUAGGAUUUUUUUUUCUUUUUUGCUAUUAUUCCUUUUAAAAUAAAAUAAUUCUAUAUUAAAUGUAAGCUAACCGUUACAUAAAUAACUAUAAACGCUUGUUGGUUGUGCUAUAGAAAAAUUCUCAUACUCGUUCGACUCAUAAUUAAUUAUAUUUUAUUGACCGAAUACACAAAUAUCAUAUUUGUAUGAGAAAUUUAUGCGAGUUCAUAAGAAAAUUCUUAAAAAAAAUAUAAAUAGGGUCCGCAUUAUUCCGUUUAAAUAAAAAAACCGAUUGAAUUGAAUUAAUUUAAAAUUUUAGUUUGAUUGUUUAUUAAUUUCGAUUCGGUUUGAUUUUUAAUUUCAAAAAUUUCAGUUAUUUCAAUUCGAUUCGAUUUUGAUCAGAAAAAAAUCAAAAAAAUUAAAUCGAACUGAUUAGUGAUAAUAAUAUAUUAUUUUCAAAUACUAUAGAGAAAUUAAAUUAUAUUAAAAUUAAAAUAUUUUAAUUAAAUUUUAAAAUAUUAAAAUAUAAAAAAUAAAAAAUUUAUUAAAUCGAACUGAAUUAGAUCGGUUUAGUUCGAUUCAAUUUUUAAUUAAAAUUGAUUCGGUUUGAUUUUUAUAAAUACUAAAAUCGGUUUAAUUCGAUUCAAUUUUUAAUUAAAAUUGAUUCGGUUUGAUUUUUAUAAAUACUAAAAUUUCAAUUUCCAGUUUAUUUAGUUUAGUUCGGUUUUGAACACUCUAACAUAAAAUCUAACAAUAUUAUGUGAAAUAAAUGAAUAAUAUAUGUGUUUUAUUUACAUUUUUUUUUCCAGAUAUGAAAAAGUUAUUACAACACAAGUAUAUUUUGAUUCUAAAACAAAUUAAGAAACUAACAAAGAACAAAAGAAAGCAAUGACUAAUUUCCUUUCCUUUGAUUUCGUUAUAUAGAUGAAAAUUCCUUAAAGUUUCUUGCUUUAUCGAUCACCCAUCAAGAAUAAAGCCAAAAAGGAACUAGUGACCAGGGCCUCUGGGGCUGGGUCCUGAUGCUAGGCGUUCAAGCCAACAUGCCAUAGUAUUCUUUGCCUUCUCAUACACAGACGAAUAAGUCUCCAGAUGAUUUUCAGAGGCAAAAUCCUCCAGCAACAUCCUAGUCGCUUCUACGUUAACCUGGCAGAAAACAGCCACCAAAAUAAAGAAAAUGGCUAGAACAGUGGUUGACUUGCUGCUGAAACUCAUCAUCUUCUUCCAAAAUGAACUGCACUAAGUAGCUGCAGAGAAAAAUCAGAACUUUUCUGUAUACCCAGAAAGAGAGAGAGAGAGAGAGAGAGUUGUUUAGUGAUUGAUGAUGAAUGUGGACUG